Molecule: long non-coding RNA, 2436 nt
Organism: Aegilops tauschii subsp. strangulata
Lineage: Eukaryota; Viridiplantae; Streptophyta; Magnoliopsida; Poales; Poaceae
Source: RefSeq, a predicted model, not a curated record
CCGCCUCCUCCCGCACUCGCUCAUCCCUCCUCCUCCUCUACGCCUCCUCCGCCCGAACCCUAACCCUAGCAGCUCGCCACACCGCCGUCGUCUCCUUCGCCCAGCCCGCCGGACCCCCGCCGUCCACUUCCCCGGCGUCACCGCCUCCUCGUGCGCGCUCUCCUCUCGCAGCCUCUUCCCGUCACAAGGCUACACCACCGCCGCCGCCGGCAAAAUGCAACAGAGGGUGCCACCACAGGGAUGGGUGAGAGGAGCUGUGGUGAGCGCCCUUCCUUUGCCUCCUCUUGCUUGUACGCCAACAUGUGAGAGCUAGGAGGAAGGGGUGGAGGCCAUGGAGGUCGUGGGUUAGAGGAACAGGAUGCCACAGGGGAAGAAGAAGAUGCCCCACUCGUUCCUGGAGUUGGUCUUCGCGUCAUUUCAUUAUUGGUCCGCUGUAACUGGAUUCUUGUGCUUUUGGUCAAUCCCCUGGUCGGUGCGUCCGUUGAUAUGUGCCUGCGCAUUGUUUGGUAGCAGCCUGGUGCGUCUCCCUUCGUGGAUCUGCAGGUGCUCGUUGUCUGGCCGGUUCAUCAUUUGAUUUGUGCCAGCUUGCUACGUCUUCGUCCACCACUUUGCAGGUCGACCCCUUUCUUCUCCUCUUCUCUGAUUUUAGGCCAGGCUUGCAUUUUCACGGCCAUGUAUUUUCCUUAGCUUGCCUGUCUGGAGCUGCUGUUAGAAUCAGUUUAUUUUGCCUGUCGUUUCUGUUGGUGUGCAUGCUGGUCAAUGGGUGUGUUUUUCUUGUACUCUUAUAUUGGUAGAUGGCUAGAGUAUAAGAAUAUUAUUACUUGCUUGUAUUUUUGUGGUACCCUUUUCAUCUUUGCUUUUUUGUGUGUGGAAUAUAGGUAUGUGCUUUUUGUUCCUUCCUUGGAUCUUGGUAGAACCUAUGAUUUCUCGUAACUUUCUGCUAUGUCCUAGAAGUAACCUAUUGAUUUGUUUGCUGGUGCUACUCGCAUGUCACGUGUUGUUGGGUUCUUCCUUACAUGCGUGAUUCCGAGCGAUAUCUGCUUCACCUCUGCCGCCGGUGGCCACGCUGGUCAUGCUCCUACUGGUUGAGCUCCUUCCCCUUUUAUGUUCAUGUACCAUUUAGUAGGACUGGCUAGGUUGCUGCAAAAAUGUCUUGGGUUUCUUCUUGUGCAGAAGAUUCUUAGGUAGCUAGGUUCCAACAGAGGACUUUUGGGGGGCUUUCUUGUUUUUUGGUGCCUUGCCGUCAAGUAGAUCCUUGGAUUUAGCUAGGUUAUCUUUUUCAUUGCUGGGUUUUCUACCUGUUGAAGAGAAGCUUAGGUCUAUAUAGAUUCCUUUGUGGUAUGCUUUGGUGCUUUGGUGGUUAUUAGUGUGAGCCUUCUAAUUGGUGUUGUUGGAUAACAGAGAAGAUCUGAAGAGAUAUUUGGCUCUCAAGUUUUUACAAAAACAAUUUAGCAUUUACCAGCGAUCCUUUAACGGAAACGUUACACCAAGUUGUAACUUGAUUUUGGCUUUAAAUCUCACUAGGAUGAUAAGCAAUGCAUCUAACCUCCCGGGGCCUACGGUCACGUCAGCUUCAUACUGGAUUAUGUGUCUUGGCCUGGUCUGGCUCUACUUUUUUAGAAUGAGAUUCAUAUUGUUGUGUGGCGGAAAACUAGGUAGCACCCUAUGGUAGAAGCAUCAGCUUUAUAUUUGACGCGUGCAUUGCGCUGCAGGUUACUUGAUGUACUCGAUUUUUCCUUGCACAGAUGAUUAUGAGUGAUCCGUGCUUCGCCUCUGCUGCUAGCGGUCGUGUCAGUCAUGUUCCUACUGGGUGCUAGAUACAUUAAGCUGGAACAAAAACAACCAGAGACGUGACCCUUGUUGCUACACAGCUCACACAAGUGUAGCAGGCGUACGUCGUCAGGGCAAGGAGCAAACGUUGGAUGCGAGGGAGCAGCAGAUGUUGUGCUGGUUGCGGCCUGCGGCAGAAUUGGCGUCAGGGAUAGGCAAGACGGCGCCGUGCGCGAAGGCGGGUCAAACAUGGUGGAUCUCGCCGCGGCCAUCAAAAGGAGACGUGCGGCAGUUUGAGGCAGAAGAACGUGGAGGUCCGCUAAGUGCAGCUGUUGUCGAAGGAUUCGCCGGGGCCGCCGCCAUGGAGUGAUUGGAGAAGAUCCAAAUUGAGAAAUUGAUAUUUUAGCAAAGGUCUGCUUUGGCUGAGGGGUCAUUUGCAAAUUCGCAAGAGCGGCUGUCAUGCGUGAGAUCUUAAUCGGCAGGCUGAGGAGCCGCGGGAUACAGGGAUGCACGAGCCACUGAUAUUCAUCAAACACAUAAUUUAAAUAGAGCUCGUGAAAAAAUUGCCCAUGGAAAUAGUCACUUUGGAUUGGUUGUGUCAAAAGAAUGCAACAUUUGUAACAUCUCUUCUCAUAUUCAUGAGACUUUCACUCUGUUGUUGCAUUA